Molecule: long non-coding RNA, 1073 nt
Filed under: Marmota monax (woodchuck)
Lineage: Eukaryota; Metazoa; Chordata; Mammalia; Rodentia; Sciuridae
Source: RNAcentral
GCGGGGUGGAAAGUGUCUGCUGAAAGGGCCACGGCUGUCCCAGGUCACCCUGCACAGGAUUACCUGGAUGACCUCCCCCUGACGUGCUCUGCUACUGUCAGUGAGUCCUGAGUGGGAGGAUGUCUCAGGAUAGGGAAAGGGCAAGUUUGAAGACGGGCAGAGCUUGGGAGAAGCACUAAGCUGAGGGGAGGCAGUAGGCAGAACCUCAGGCGUGGGACCAUAUCAAGUGCAACUAGGGUGUGUGGGGGCAGGAUCAGAAGCCACCUCCGUGGCCUGGGCCUGUGGCCAAGCCAACUUAUAAGGAGGGAGCUAUUCAGUAUAGGAGGGAAGGCCUGGCCUCGGUUCUGGAGCCCAGUGGUGAGUCCCUGUCCCAGUUGAUUUCACGGGAUUCUCCUGGGAUGCGGAGCUGUGUGGGGUCAGUCUGCCAGCUGUCUGGAAGGCCCAUCGGUGGCCAGAAAAGCUGGAGACUGAGUGUUUCCUGCUGGGUCUCUCUUGCCUUAGGGCCUUCGCACAUGCUGUCCCUCUUCCUGGGUGAGCCCCCUCUAGCAGGGGUGUCUUGCUCACUACAGACCCAUGUGCUUUUUCAGUAAAACUUCCAGGGAUUGGGAUCCAGGGUGGUGAGAUCUCCUGGGCAGUGAGGAGGUAAAAAGCUGAGUCCUGGGGAGGGCCUGGGCUUUGCUUCUGACUAGCCAGAGCUGGACAACAAGGCAUGUCCAGCUUCCUCUUCACUGGCUCAGUUUCUUCUGAGACACCUCUACCUCUGGCCCCAGGCUCUCCUCCACCACCAACCAGUCAGCAUCUGUCUGUCCUGAUGACGUCCCGCCCCCUUGUCUGGGUCUCUAGCAUUCUUUCUUGGCUAUAGCCACUCCCACAUUCUUUGGGUCUCUCUUGCCUUAGGGCCUUUGCACAUGCUGUCCCUCUUCCUUUGCUGGCUAGCCCCAACCCAUCUUUCAAGGUCACACGCGGCUGCUAUUCCAGGCUGGUUGGGUAGGGCAGGCUGAUAGGGCUUCUUCACUGGACCUUUUAGCUGCCAAGGCUUUCCCAAGAGCCCCUGGCACACACCUGAGUUGAGG